RNAcentral lists this long non-coding RNA (1628 nucleotides) under Salmo salar (Atlantic salmon). Its description in RNAcentral is "lncRNA (ENSSSAG00000109169.1, ENSSSAG00000111135.1)". The record is from RNAcentral. Lineage: Eukaryota; Metazoa; Chordata; Actinopteri; Salmoniformes; Salmonidae.
GUAGGGAUACAUCAUAUUUUCGCUUGACUUGUCCAGUUUUCCACUAUUAAGAGGAGAGGAAACUACAAGACUAUUGAGAAAAGGAUAGGAAGAUACUAGACUAUUAAGAUGAAGGAGAGGAGACGAGGAGAGGAAGCUACUAGACUAUUGAGAUGAAGGAGAGGAAGCUACUAGACUAUUGAGAUGAAGGAGAGGAAGCUACUAGACUAUUGAGAUGAAGGAGAGGAAGCUACUAGACUAUUGAGAUGAAGGAGAGGAGACGAGGAGAGGAAGCUACUAGACUAUUGAGAUGAGGAAACUACUAGACUAUUGAGAUGAAGGAGAGGAGAUGAGGAGAGGAAGCUACUAGACUAUUGAGAUGAAGGAGAGGAGACGAGGAGAGGAAGCUACUAGACUAUUGAGAUGAAGGCGAGGAGAUGAGGAGAGGAAGCUACUAGACUAUUGAGAUGAAGGAGAGGAGACGAGGAGAGGAAGCUACUAGACUAUUGAGAUGAAGGAGAGGAGAUGAGGAGAGGAAACUACUAGACUAUUGAGAUGAAGGAGAGGAGAUGAGGAGAGGAAGCUACUAGACUAUUGAGAUGAAGGAGAGGAGACGAGGAGAGGAAGCUACUAGACUAUUGAGAUGAAGGAGAAGAGACGAGGAGAGGAAGCUACUAGACUAUUGAGAUGAAGGAGAGGAGAUGAGGAGAGGAAGCUACUAGACUGUUGAGAUGAAGGAGAGGAAGCUACUAGACUAUUGAGAUGAGGAGAGGAAGCUACUAGACUAUUGAGAUGAAGGAGAGGAGAUGAGGAGAGGAAGCUACUAGACUAUUGAGAUGUAGGAGAGGAAGCUACUAGACUAUUGAGAUGAGGAGAGGAAGCUACUAGACUAUUGAGAUGAAGGAGAGGAGAUGAGGAGAGGAAGCUACUAGACUAUUGAGAUGAAGGAGCGGAGACGAGAGGAAGUCACUUCAGACUGUUGUCAUCAUUAGUUAGACAGAGAUGCAGCCAUGUUGUCUGUGUUGUCAUCAUUACUGAGACAGAGGAGGCAGUUGAAGGCCAAGGAUAGAGACAGAGGAGGAAGCUGAGGGCCAUGGAUAGAAACAGAGGAGGAAGCUGAGGGCCAUGGAUAGAAACAGAGGAGGAAGCUGAGGGCCAUGGAUAGAAACAGAGGAGGAAGUUGAGGGCCAUGGAUAGAGACAAGAGGAGGCAGUUCAGGGCCAUGGAUAGAAACAGAGGAGGAAGCUGAGGGCCAUGGAUAGAAACAGAGGAGGAAGUUGAGGGCCAUGGAUAGAAACAGAGGAGGCAGUUGAGGGCCAUGGAUAGAAACAGAGGAGGCAGUUGAGGGCCAUGGAUAGAAACAGAGGAGGCAGUUGAGGGCCAUGGAUAGAGACAGAGGAGGCAGCUGAGGGCCAAGGAUAGAGACAGAGGAGGCAGUUCAGGGCCAUGGAUAGAGACAGAGGAGGCAGCUACAGGCCAUGGAUAGAGACAGAGGAGGCAGUUCAGGGCCAUGGAUAGAGACAGAGGAGGCAGCUGAGGGCCAUGGAUAGAGACAGAGGAGGCAGUUGAGGGCCAUGGAUAGAGACAGAGGAGGCAGUUCAGGGCCAUGGAUAGAGACAGAGGAGGCAGUUGAGGGCCAUGGAUAGAGA